Molecule: ribosomal RNA, 479 nt
Filed under: uncultured bacterium
Lineage: Bacteria
Description: partial 16S ribosomal RNA
Rfam family: Bacterial small subunit ribosomal RNA
Source: RNAcentral
GAUGAACGCUAGCGGGAGGCCUAACACAUGCAAGCCGAGCGGUAUUUGUUCUUCGGAACAGAGAGAGCGGCGCACGGGUGCGGAACACGUGUGCAACCUGCCUUUAUCUGGGGGAUAGCCUUUCGAAAGGAAGAUUAAUACCCCAUAAUAUAUUGAGUGGCAUCACUUGAUAUUGAAAACUCCGGUGGAUAGAGAUGGGCACGCGCAAGAUUAGAUAGUUGGUGAGGUAACGGCUCACCAAGUCAAUGAUCUUUAGGGGGCCUGAGAGGGUGACCCCCCACACUGGUACUGAGACACGGACCAGACUCCUACGGGAGGCAGCAGUGAGGAAUAUUGGACAAUGGGUUAGCGCCUGAUCCAGCCAUCCCGCGUGAAGGACGACGGCCCUACGGGUUGUAAACUUCUUUUGUAUAGGGAUAAACCUACUCUCGUGAGAGUAGCUGAAGGUACUAUACGAAUAAGCGCCGGCUAACUCCGUG